AUUGAACGCUGGCGGCAGGCCUAACACAUGCAAGUCGAGCGGAUGAAGGGAGCUUGCUCCUGGAUUCAGCGGCGGACGGGUGAGUAAUGCCUAGGAAUCUGCCUGGUAGUGGGGGAUAACGUCCGGAAACGGGCGCUAAUACCGCAUGCGUCCUGAGGGAGAAAUUGGGGGAUCUUCGGACCUCACGCUAUCAGAUGAGCCUAGGUCGGAUUAGCUAGUUGGUGGGGUAAAGGCCUACCAAGGCGACGAUCCGUAACUGGUCUGAGAGGAUGAUCAGUCACACUGGAACUGAGACACGGUCCAGACUCCUACGGGAGGCAGCAGUGGGGAAUAUUGGACGAUGGGCGAAAGCCUGAUCCAGCCAUGCCGCGUGUGUGAAGAAGGUCUUCGGAUUGUAAAGCACUUUAAGUUGGGAGGAAGGGCAGUAAGUUAAUACCUUGCUGUUUUGACGUUACCAACAGAAUAAGCACCGGCUAACUUCGUG
This 484-nucleotide ribosomal RNA is filed under the name uncultured bacterium. Its description in RNAcentral is "partial 16S ribosomal RNA". It matches the Rfam family "Bacterial small subunit ribosomal RNA", at positions 30 to 507 of the family's 1533-position model. The record is from RNAcentral.